UGCUCUUCUGAUCUUGGGGCACUACCUCGCUCUUACUUCUCAGCUGCACUCAGUCGUUUGGACUUAAUGAAG
This is a long non-coding RNA of Sinocyclocheilus grahami, 72 nucleotides long. RefSeq lists it as uncharacterized. The transcript has 3 exons. The record is from RefSeq and is a predicted model, not a curated record. NCBI's taxonomy places the organism in Eukaryota, Metazoa, Chordata, Actinopteri, Cypriniformes, Cyprinidae.